This 511-nucleotide ribosomal RNA is filed under the name uncultured bacterium. RNAcentral describes it as "bacterial SSU rRNA". It matches the Rfam family "Bacterial small subunit ribosomal RNA", at positions 29 to 518 of the family's 1533-position model. The record is from RNAcentral.
AACGAACGCUGGCGGCGUGCUUAACACAUGCAAGUCGAACGCGAAAGGGACUUCGGUCCUGAGUAAAGUGGCGCACGGGUGAGUAACGCGUAGAUAACCUGUCUUCAUGUCUGGAAUAAUACGCCGAAAGGGGUACUAAUACCGGAUAUUCUUGCUUUUCAUAAGUUAUGCAAGCAAAGGUGGCCUCUGCAUAUGCUACUGCAUGAAGAGGGGUCUGCGUACCAUUAGCUAGUAGGUGGGGUAAUGGCCUACCUAGGCGACGAUGGUUAGCGGGUCUGAGGGGAUGAUCCGCCACACUGGCACUGGAACACGGGCCAGACUCCUACGGGAGGCAGCAGUGAGGAAUAUUGCGCAAUGGGGGAAACCCUGACGCAGCGACGCCGCGUGAGUGAGGAAAGGCCUUCGGGUCGUAAAGCUCUGUCAAGAGGAAAGAAGUGUACAAUGGCUAAUACCUGUUGUAUUUGACGGUACCUCUAAAGGAGGCACCGGCUAACUCCGUGCCAGCAGCAGC